This 496-nucleotide ribosomal RNA is filed under the name uncultured bacterium. RNAcentral describes it as "partial 16S ribosomal RNA". It matches the Rfam family "Bacterial small subunit ribosomal RNA", at positions 28 to 506 of the family's 1533-position model. The record is from RNAcentral.
GAUGAACGCUGGCGGCGUGCCUAAUACAUGCAAGUCGAGCGAACAGACGAGGAGCUUGCUCCUCUGACGUUAGCGGCGGACGGGUGAGUAACACGUGGGUAACCUACCUAUAAGACUGGGAUAACUUCGGGAAACCGGAGCUAAUACCGGAUAAUAUAUUGAACCGCAUGGUUCAAUAGUGAAAGACGGUUUUGCUGUCACUUAUAGAUGGAUCCGCGCCGCAUUAGCUAGUUGGUAAGGUAACGGCUUACCAAGGCAACGAUGCGUAGCCGACCUGAGAGGGGGAUCGGCCACACUGGAACUGAGACACGGUCCAGACUCCUACGGGAGGCAGCAGUAGGGAAUCUUCCGCAAUGGGCGAAAGCCUGACGGAGCAACGCCGCGUGAGUGAUGAGGGUCUACGGAUCGUAAAACUCUGUGAUUAGGGAAGAACAAAUGUGUAAGUAACGAUGCACGUCUUGACGGUACCUAAGCAGAAAGCCACGGCUAACUACGU